Molecule: ribosomal RNA, 497 nt
Filed under: uncultured bacterium
Lineage: Bacteria
Description: partial 16S ribosomal RNA
Rfam family: Bacterial small subunit ribosomal RNA
Source: RNAcentral
GAUGAACGCUGGCGGCGUGCUUAAUACAUGCAAGUCGAGCGAACAGACCCCCAUCUUGCUGGGGGUACUCGAGCGGCGGACGGGUGAGUAACACGUGGGUAAUCUGCCUAGUAGUCUGGGAUAACCUCGGGAAACUGGGUCUAAUACCGGAUAGGAUAAUGAUUCGGAGUGUUAUGGAGGAAAGGUCGUUUUUGUGGUGCCGGAUGAGUUCGCCCGCGCCGCGUUAGCUGGUGGGUAAGUUACCGGCUAAGCAGGGCAUCGGUGCGUAGCCGACCUGAGAGGGUGCGCGGCCACAGUGGAACUGAGACACGGUCCAGACUCCUACGGGAGGCAGCAGUAGGGAAUCUUCCGCAAUGGGCGAAAGCCUGACGGAGCAACGCCGCGUGAGUGAUGAAGGUCUUCGGAUCGUAAGACUCUGUUAUUAGGGAAGAACAAAUGUGUAAGUAACUAUGCACGUCUUGACGGUACCUAAUCAGAAAGCCACGGCUAACUACGUG